This is a non-coding RNA of Stegodyphus mimosarum, 73 nucleotides long. Lineage: Eukaryota; Metazoa; Arthropoda; Arachnida; Araneae; Eresidae. The record is from Rfam.
GUCUUCGUGGUGUAGUGGUCAGCACACUCGACGCGUAUUCGAAAGAUCCAUGGUUCGAGUCCCGGCAAGGGCA